RNAcentral lists this ribosomal RNA (254 nucleotides) under uncultured bacterium. Its description in RNAcentral is "partial 16S ribosomal RNA". It matches the Rfam family "Bacterial small subunit ribosomal RNA", at positions 524 to 776 of the family's 1533-position model. The record is from RNAcentral.
CAUGUAGGGUGCGAGCGUUGUCCGGAAUUAUUGGGCGUAAAGAGCUCGUAGGCGGUGUGUCGCGUCGGCCGUGAAAACCUGCAGCUUAACUGUGGGCGUGCGGUCGAUACGGGCAUCACUGGAGUUCGGCAGGGGAGACUGGAAUUCCUGGUGUAGCGGUGAAAUGCGCAGAUAUCAGGAGGAACACCGGUGGCGAAGGUGGGUCUCUGGGCCGAUACUGACGCUGAGGAGCGAAAGCGUGGGGAGCGAACAGG